AGAACCUUACCAGGUCUUGACAUCCUCUGACAACCCUAGAGAUUUUCUUUCCCUUCGGGACAGAGUGACAGGUGGUGCAUGGUUGUCGUCAGCUCGUGUCGUGAGAUGGUUGGUUUAGUCCCGCAACGAGCGCAACCCUUGAUCUUUGUUGCCAGCAUUCAGUUGGGCCUUAUAAGGUGACUCCCGGGUACAAACCGGGGGAAGGGGGGGAGGACGUCAAAUCAUCAUCCCCCUUAUUCCCUGGGCUCCCCCCGUGUUCCAAUGGCAAGACAAAAGGGUUGCAAGCCCGCAAGGUUUAGCCAAUCCCAUAAAUUUGUUUUCAGUUCGGAUGGCAGUUUGAAAUUGGCCUGCGGGAAUCGGGAAUCGCUAGUAAUCCAGGUUCACCAUGCCGCGGUGAAUACGUUCCCGGGCCUUGUACACACCGCCCGUCACACCACGAGAGUUUGCAACACCCGAAGUCGGUGAGGUAACCUUUAUGAGCCAGCCGUCCG
This 491-nucleotide ribosomal RNA is filed under the name Bacillus sp. (in: firmicutes). RNAcentral's name for it is "bacterial SSU rRNA". It matches the Rfam family "Bacterial small subunit ribosomal RNA", at positions 965 to 1459 of the family's 1533-position model. The record is from RNAcentral. Lineage: Bacteria; Bacillati; Bacillota; Bacilli; Caryophanales; Bacillaceae.